RNAcentral lists this long non-coding RNA (1885 nucleotides) under Eucalyptus grandis. Its description in RNAcentral is "long non-coding RNA (EGRA_LNC001640)". The record is from RNAcentral. Lineage: Eukaryota; Viridiplantae; Streptophyta; Magnoliopsida; Myrtales; Myrtaceae.
UCUUCUCUCUUUGCCCUCGGUGCAGCUCCCCUGACCUUGCUGACUUCUACUUUCUUUCAUUUUUGAUUCCUUCGAAGCUGCCCAUCUUCUCCACUACGUACAGCCCAUUGAAGAUGUCCCUGCUCCUCUCUAUGUCAACAACUCCCACCGAGCAUCUCUCUGAAUCCCUUGCAGCUGCCACUUUCCAACCCCUAUAGUCAACCAGCGAAACCCAAAGCUACUUCUUUAGCUGGUUCGUUGACCUCAGCAACGAUGCCCCUCUGCCUUUGCCGCGUGGCGACUUCAUUUCCGAGCCCCAAACUCCACCGAAAUAAGCUGUCAUCUCCACCGAUCUUCAAGCCAGCUGCUAGCAUGUCCAACCCAUCGAGUCUACUGCGGAACAACCAUUGUUCAAGCCGAUCUAGGACCGAAGACAGCAGCUAAGGCCAUGGGCCUAGCAAGGUUUUCAGGCCCUUCUGAGCUCCCGUUGGUGUCACUGUUUCAGAGUUUGUCGGCCGCCCUUGCGCCGCCGUCGCUGUGGACUCACCGGCUUGCUAAUCCAAUGAGUUUACCCACUAAUCUUUUCUUAGGGAGCUAAUGACGCUUAAGGGUUGAUUAGUUUAAGUUAAGUAUGGUUUAAGUGGUUAGUUAUAACGGAUUAGUGAUUUAGUUAAUCCUUGAUGCAUGUUAGGUGGUUAGAUUAGUGCAAUUAGCAAGUAGAUAUGCAUAGUAUUUAAUUAGACAGAUUCGGAAAUUUUCCAGGACCGUCUCGGCUUUUAAUUAGGUUUAUCCAGCCUAUGUGUGAAUUAAUUAAUUUUCGAAAUUAUUUAAUUAAUUAUUAUUUUCUGGAAAUUAAAUCGGAAUAGUCGGUGACCGGAAUUUUAUGUUGAUUGCAGUAGUGUGAUUUGUUUAUUUAAUUGAGUGAUGGAUGGUGCAAAUUGAGUGUGAAUUGUGAUUUUGGGUAUUUAUCCCAAAAUUUAACAAAUUCAAUAUUUAAUUAGAAAAUAUCAGGUGUCGAUUUACAACACCAAAAUUGCGUUUAUGGACUGUUGAAACUAGUGGGAUUUUCAAAAAGGGUAAAUAAUGUAUUUUGGCUAAAGCCAACCAUGUACUUACACACGAUUAUUUUUAUUGGGUAUGAUAAAAAUGGUGAAAUUAUUAGAUGAUCAUGAUAGUAUACUAUAUCAGUCUACGGGCUUGAUAUGUCAACUUUGGGUGAGAAGUAUACCUUAACAGCUUCUGGCAAGCAUUGUGAGUAUACUAUAUUAACCUGCGGGCCUCAAUAUAUCAACUUCGGAUGAGUAGUAUACUCUAUUAUCAGCUUAUUGCGAGCUAUAUUUAUUAUCAGUUUUGGGUGAGCUAUACUAUCUAUCUUCAGCUUAGGUGAGCAGAUCAUAACAUGAUCGAACUAGAUAAAUAAUAUGAAUGAGUGGACCAAGAGGUGGUCUUAAUGACAUGGAAUCAACUGAGUUGAUUGAUUGAUGACUCAAUCUGAUUUGAUGCCUUAAGGUGCUGAAGUGAUUCGUUGAAUUUAUAAAUUAUACUGACUUAUAGGAAGGAAUGGAGGCAAAUGUAAGACCUCUGACUUGUUUUUGUGUUUAGGCAGCCUUUGGGGCGUAUUUUCUUCCUAGUCGGGGCUUAGGAGGUGAACUUGCUGAGACAUCGUCUCACCCCGUUUGGGAUAACAUUUUCAAAUCCUUAGAUGGCAGUUGAGGAGGAUCCGAAGCUCCAGAGUUUGAUGAAGAUGAGACCGAAGAAUCGGCGUACAUGUCUGACUAGUGGGUCAUAUGACAUUUUCCAUUUUAUUGAGCCAAUCUUUUGUAAACAGCCUAGUAUUGUGUAUAAACCUAGAGUGUUUAUAAAAAGGCUUGUUUUGGUAGGAAUUGUUGCCUACUUUUUUAUCCCA